UACGUAGGGUGCGAGCGUUGUCCGGAAUUAUUGGGCGUAAAGAGCUCGUGGGCGGUCUGUCGCGUCGAUCGUGAAAACUUGGGGCUUAACCCUGAGCUUGCGGUCGAUACGGGCAUGACUGGAGUUCGGCAGGGGAGACUGGAAUUCCUGGUGUAGCGGUGAAAUGCGCAGAUAUCAGGAGGAACACCAGCGGCGAAGGCGCCGCUCUGGGCCGUAACUGACGCUGAGGAGCGAAAGCAUGGGUAGCAAACAGG
RNAcentral lists this ribosomal RNA (254 nucleotides) under uncultured bacterium. RNAcentral's name for it is "partial 16S ribosomal RNA". It matches the Rfam family "Bacterial small subunit ribosomal RNA", at positions 524 to 776 of the family's 1533-position model. The record is from RNAcentral.